GGAAAAUCUAGGCUUGAACAAGACAGAAAAAGAGGGUCAUGCCUGGGGCCAGAAGCCAGGAAGCUGCCAGCUAACCAGACUCUGGAGGAAGCAGGAAAGUAAGAUAUACAAAAAGAAAGAGUGCAUGAAAGAAAUGAAAUCCUCAAUGUGGAUAUAUGUAAUGGUAGGAAACCUUAUUCGUGGAAAUGGUGAAACCCCCAUCAUGCCCUUGGGUAUAUCCUACAUAGAAGAUUUUGCCAAAUUUGAAAACUCCCCUUUAUACAUUGCUGGCAUUCUGGCACCUAUUUAUUUUGGCACUUUAGUAGACUGAACCUGUAUACAUUGAGGAACUCUGAAAUGUGGUGAGCCUGGAG
Arvicola amphibius (Eurasian water vole) is the source of this 353-nucleotide long non-coding RNA. RefSeq lists it as uncharacterized. The transcript has 3 exons. Lineage: Eukaryota; Metazoa; Chordata; Mammalia; Rodentia; Cricetidae. The record is from RefSeq and is a predicted model, not a curated record.